GAUGAACGCUGGCGGCGUGCCUAAUACAUGCAAGUCGAGCGAACGGACGAGAAGCUUGCUUCUCUGAUGUUAGCGGCGGACGGGUGAGUAACACGUGGAUAACCUACCUAUAAGACUGGGAUAACUUCGGGAAACCGGAGCUAAUACCGGAUGAUAUUUUGAACCGCAUGGUUCAAAAGUGAAAGACGGUCUUGCUGUCACUUAUAGAUGGAUCCGCGCUGCAUUAGCUAGUUGGUAAGGUAACGGCUUACCAAGGCAACGAUGCAUAGCCGACCUGAGCGGGUGAUCGGCCACACUGGAACUGAGACACGGUCCAGACUCCUACGGGAGGCAGCAGUAGGGAAUCUUACGCAAUGGGCGAAAGCCUGACGGAGCAACGCCGCGUGAGUGAUGAAGGUCUUCGGAUCGUAAAACUCUGUUAUUAGGGAAGAACAUAUGUGUAAGUAACUGUGCACAUCUUGACGGUACCUAAUCAGAAAGCCACGGCUAACUACGUG
Molecule: ribosomal RNA, 497 nt
Filed under: uncultured bacterium
Lineage: Bacteria
Description: partial 16S ribosomal RNA
Rfam family: Bacterial small subunit ribosomal RNA
Source: RNAcentral